This 457-nucleotide ribosomal RNA is filed under the name uncultured Desulfobulbus sp. RNAcentral's name for it is "bacterial SSU rRNA". It matches the Rfam family "Bacterial small subunit ribosomal RNA", at positions 924 to 1382 of the family's 1533-position model. The record is from RNAcentral. Lineage: Bacteria; Pseudomonadati; Thermodesulfobacteriota; Desulfobulbia; Desulfobulbales; Desulfobulbaceae.
CACAAGCGGAGGAGCAUGUGGUUUAAUUCGAUGAUACGCGAGGAACCUUACCUGGGCUCGAACGUAAGAUGACUGUAGGUGAAAGCUUACAUCUCUUCGGAGCAUUUUACGAGGUGCUGCAUGGUUGUCGUCAGCUCGUGUCGUGAGAUGUUGGGUUAAGUCCCGCAACGAGCGCAACCCUUGCCUUUAGUUGCCAGCAGUUCGGCUGGGCACUCUAAAGGGACUGCCGGUGUUAAACCGGAGGAAGGUGGGGAUGACGUCAAGUCCUCAUGGCCUUUAUGACCAGGGCUACACACGUACUACAAUGGCCGAUACAAAGGGCAGCGACACUGCGAGGUGAAGCCAAUCCCGUAAAAUCGGUCUCAGUCCGGACUGGAGUCUGCAACUCGACUCCAUGAAGUUGGAAUCGCUAGUAAUCGUGGAUCAGCAUGCCACGGUGAAUACGUUCCCGGGCCUU